GACAGAGGUGGCAAGCGUUGUUCGGAUUUAUUGGGUGUAAAGGGCAGGUAGGUGGCUAUACAAGUCUGGUGUGAAAUCCCAGGGCUCAACCCUGGAACUGCAUUGGAAACUGUAUGGCUUGAGUAUCGGAGAGGUAAGGGGAAUUCUCGGUGUAAGGGUGAAACCUGUAGAUAUCGAGAGGAACACCAGUGGCGAAGGCGCCUUACUGGCCGAUUACUGACACUGAGCUGCGAAAGCAAGGGGAGCAAACAGG
This 253-nucleotide ribosomal RNA is filed under the name uncultured bacterium. Its description in RNAcentral is "partial 16S ribosomal RNA". It matches the Rfam family "Bacterial small subunit ribosomal RNA", at positions 524 to 776 of the family's 1533-position model. The record is from RNAcentral.